GGCGGUGCUGCCGCCUUGUGGCCACGGAGCGGUGCUGUGGACAGAGGGCGCGGUGAAGGAGAGCCCGGAGUGCAAAGGGACGUGGCCGGGCUUGAGCGGCCGCCCUGCGAGGCGGUGGCUGAGAAGAAUGACAGCGGCGGGGUCGCAGCAGAGCUGCCAUUUCAAGAUAGCGAAGCGCCCGCGUACCGGGACCCUGCAUGAGCCGGGUCGGGCUCCAGCCACACUCAAGAUGGCGGCUGCGGCAGGACUCCGGCAGAGGCGUCGCCGCCGCUCCCUGCCGCCACUCGCGCGGCUCCGGUGCCGCUGACCCCGCCAACCGUUUUCUCCCGUCGGGAAAGGCAGGAGAAAACGCGCUAAGAGCGCGGGAUCGGCAUCGAGGCCGGGUUGAGGCAGCCCACUAGAUAAACGCCUGCGUGAGGAGCGGGGGGCCUUAAAGGUACCACAACACGGAUGGCGGCUCGGCCGGAAAUGGCUUCUGCAAGUACCAAAGACUGCGGCGAAGAAAUGCAGGAGAAAUGGCUGCUGGCUCCUGGCAGCCUGGGCUUGCAAGGCAGGUUUUGUACUUGAUUGCAAGGCAGUUUUUCUGCCCCUGCAGGGGGUGGCACCUGCAUCCCACUGGAAAGGGAAGAGAAAAGAAGUCACCUUACGCCACACCCAAGAUGGCGGCACAGCGAGCCACUCACUUGCCCUUCCAAGGAUGGCGACAGUCAUGCGCCUUGAGCAGAUUGCUGAGCACUGGGGAGAAUAUUUGGGAUAAAGAAAUGAAAGGCACAAAGGAAGCUUCACACUCCCGAGGGAAUGCUUUAGGCACGUGCUUCUGAACCUCACCAAUAAUCCUGGCUGCCACAGAAACCUUCUGAAGCUGGAAGGGACAGGGAAGACAAUUCCAGGAGCUGUGGGAAGUGCUUUCUCCUGAUUCUGGAUGGCAUUGAGGUCAGAACGAGUUCCACAUUAUCCUUGUGCCUCUUCUGUUGCCAGUCCAGGACUAAGUUGGUGUUCCAUGAGUGGCUGCAGCUGCCUGAGAGUGGACAGAAGAAGCCUGUGCUGGAGAAUGGGAGAAAGGUCCCUGCUGGUUUCUGUGUCCUCGGUGGGCACAGAACUCUGGCCAGAUGGGUUGGACAGGGAAAACCACUGAACUUGUCCUGGCCUUGCCAAGAGCUUUGGUGUUUGAGCUGCCAAAACUAAACUGGUCCUGUCCUGAUGCUGGAACUGUCUCUCUGGAUAUGUGCUGAGCUCUUGCUGCUGUGAACUGUGUGGACUUAAUUGCUACAGGGUUCUGUUCUUCUCACUGGGGAAUUGGAAAUAAUUAUUAAUUAGAAGGCAGAGAUGUUUUCAGAAAUCUCUCACUUUUUUUCUGCCUUUUAGUGGUAGAUCUCCUCUUUCUGCCUCUGAAUUUACACAGCGAUUCUCAGAUGUCAUUUCACCUGCCCAAAUCCCUCACAGCUCAGGGGGGUGCAGGGAAGGUGGUAUUGUGUGUGUAGGUAUGUAACCACUUAGCAGAUAAUCUCAGAUUCUCUAAAGCCAGCCAUUCAUUUUAAAACAAGGACCAAACUCCUGCUGCCGGGAAGCUGUGAUCAGUUUAUAACUUAGCUUUAGCUCAGAGAUACUGGAUUUGUGUAAAUCAGAAUAGCCCCAACUUCCUUGCAACCCAGAGCAUCAGUGUCACCUGACUGAGCUUCUCUGCCACUGCCACCACAGGGUGACUGUCCCCACCCUGGACAAGCAGUGCAUCAAUAAGGCAGUGAAAGGUGAAGUGAUAGAAAUCAAUCUGCCUCUCAUUAGUGGGAUGAAUAGAAGUGUGCUGGGGUCAAUGAGGGGGUGAGGAGAUGUGUUAAGAGCUGGUUAAAAGAGAGAUAAGAGAAGGAUGUUAGUACUUUUUUGUCAGAUGGUUAGGAAUAAGCUUUGGAGGAUUUUUGGAUAAAGGUGUCUCAAGUGAACAGUGUCAGGUACACUCUGAGUACAAACACUGCUCAGUAAAAGGAGCUCGGGGAAAAGUUCUGUGUGAGGCAGGUGCCUUUAUGUGUUUAGAGAUUUCAGAGAGUUUUCAAAUAAGAACCACACAUUUUCCUAAAAUGAGCAUGGGUGUUUGUAGUUGCACUGGAACUGAGCUGCUGAAGACACACAAAUAUUUUGUAGCCGUAAGAUAUGUGUGUAUUUAUGUUUGCCUGUGCUCAGGCACACACAAGCCCACACAAAGGACACUUGUACAUAUUUAUUUUCCUUUUUCCUACUAGAUAGCAUAUUCAUUGCUGUAUUUGUAGCCCAAAUUAAUCACAAGAAGGAAAAAGCAAUUUGCCUUGUAAGCAGAAAUAGAGAUGAGGAAAUGUUUCACUCUGGAUGCAGUGAGAAGUGUGGUAUUGGAGCAGUUCUGGAGCAGGCAGUGUGGACAAAAGAAGGGGUCUUUUCCCAGGCCUGAGCACCUUGCAUUUCUCAACAAAAAUAUGGCAUUGCUGCUUCAGGGACUGGGGCCAGCUCAUUGCAAUGCAGCACUCCAGAGGGAGGCAAGGCAAUUUGCCAUGACACCUUUUCCAUCUUGCUGCCUCGCUCACUGCUGCAGUUACAGAUGGCCAACAUUUGUGUCUUAAACAUUUAUCCUGCAAAAUAGAGACUUUUGUAUAAAAAGUAUUUGGUGCACCAAAAUAUUUCCCUUAGAUUUAAAUUUUCAUCUUGUUUCAAUCUUCAGAAAACAUUUUGAGAUUUCAGAUGUUGUUUUUUCUCCUUUUUGUCACCUUCCUUCUGUCUCACACUCUGUUUUCUGAACACAGCAGAUAUUUGCCAAGGUUGAAGGAUUUGGUGGGAGGGUCAUUUUCUCCUUUUUGUUCCUGCUUAUUUUAUUAUUUUUCCAAUUAUUUAAGGCUUUACCUAUAUUGUUAGUGUAGUGCAUUAAAAGUUUGGCUAGCACAGGAUCUCAGCCUCCAUCACACCUCUCAGUGAAAUAAGUACAAGAUAAAAGAUUGUAUUAGAAUAAUCUUUUUUUCUCCUUUACCUGAAGUUUGUAAAAUUACCAAAUAGAUGUAAAAAUAGAUAAGCAUUUCUUAAAAUUUUGGCAUUGAGGUUUUCCAUGCAGUCAGUGGCAGAUGGAAACUAUUACUGGGAAAGAAACAGAAGUGAAAAAUUUUACAAAUAUUUUGGAUGAAGGAAUACAAUUAAUCUCAGUUUGAACUCUGAAAUAUAAACAAACUUAUAACUUCAAAAUUAAAUGAGUAUUUAGAAAA
Long non-coding RNA from Haemorhous mexicanus (house finch), 3215 nucleotides. RefSeq lists it as uncharacterized. The record is from RefSeq and is a predicted model, not a curated record. NCBI's taxonomy places the organism in Eukaryota, Metazoa, Chordata, Aves, Passeriformes, Fringillidae. The transcript has 4 exons.